UGGGGAAUCUUCCGCAAUGGACGAAAGUCUGACGGAGCAACGCCGCGUGAGUGAAGAAGGUUUUCGGAUCGUAAAACUCUGUCUUUUGGGGCGAACGUGAGUAUGGUGAACAAUCAUAGUCAGUGACGGUACCAAAGGAGGAAGCCACGGCUAACUACGUGCCAGCAGCCGCGGUAAUACGUAGGUGGCAAGCGUUGUCCGGAAUUAUUGGGCGUAAAGAGCGCGUAGGCGGGAUAGUCAGUCUGUUGUAAAGUGCGGGGCUCAACCCCGUGAUCGCAAUGGAAACAGCUAUUCUUGAGUGCAGGAGAGGAAAGUGGAAUUCCCAGUGUAGCGGUGAAAUGCGUAGAUAUUGGGAGGAACACCAGUGGCGAAGGCGACUUUCUGGACUGUGUCUGACGCUGAGGCGCGAAAGCCAGGGGAGCGAACGGGAUUAGAUACCCCGGUAGUCCUGGCCGUAAACGAUGGGUACUAGGUGUGGGAGGUAUCGACCCCUUUCCGUGCCGGAGUUAACGCAAUAAGUACCCCCGCCUGGGGAGUACGGUCGCAAGACUGAAACUUAAAUGAAUUGACGGGGUCAUAGCUGUUUCCUG
RNAcentral lists this ribosomal RNA (590 nucleotides) under uncultured bacterium. Its description in RNAcentral is "partial 16S ribosomal RNA". It matches the Rfam family "Bacterial small subunit ribosomal RNA", at positions 355 to 1376 of the family's 1533-position model. The record is from RNAcentral.